This 59-nucleotide transfer RNA is filed under the name Aneides flavipunctatus (black salamander). RNAcentral's name for it is "partial tRNA-His". The record is from RNAcentral. Lineage: Eukaryota; Metazoa; Chordata; Amphibia; Caudata; Plethodontidae.
GUUUAUAUAAUUUAAAUAAAAUAUUAGACUGUGACUCCUAAUUAUGAAAGUUAAAACCU